Molecule: ribosomal RNA, 464 nt
Filed under: Vreelandella stevensii
Lineage: Bacteria; Pseudomonadati; Pseudomonadota; Gammaproteobacteria; Oceanospirillales; Halomonadaceae
Description: partial 16S ribosomal RNA
Rfam family: Bacterial small subunit ribosomal RNA
Source: RNAcentral
CCUACGGGAGGCAGCAGUGGGGAAUAUUGGACAAUGGGCGAAAGCCUGAUCCAGCCAUGCCGCGUGUGUGAAGAAGGCCUUCGGGUUGUAAAGCACUUUCAGUGGGGAAGAAAGCCUUGGGGCUAAUACCCUCGAGGAAGGACAUCACCCACAGAAGAAGCACCGGCUAACUCCGUGCCAGCAGCCGCGGUAAUACGGAGGGUGCGAGCGUUAAUCGGAAUUACUGGGCGUAAAGCGCGCGUAGGCGGUCUGAUAAGCCGGUUGUGAAAGCCCCGGGCUCAACCUGGGAACGGCAUCCGGAACUGUCAGGCUAGAGUGCAGGAGAGGAAGGUAGAAUUCCCGGUGUAGCGGUGAAAUGCGUAGAGAUCGGGAGGAAUACCAGUGGCGAAGGCGGCCUUCUGGACUGACACUGACGCUGAGGUGCGAAAGCGUGGGUAGCAAACAGGAUUAGAUACCCGUUAGUC